AGAGUUUGAUCCUGGCUCAGAUUGAACGCUGGCGGCAGGCCUAACACAUGCAAGUCGAACGGUAACAGGAAACAGCUUGCUGUUUCGCUGACGAGUGGCGGACGGGUGAGUAAUGUCUGGGAAACUGCCUGAUGGAGGGGGAUAACUACUGGAAACGGUAGCUAAUACCGCAUAACGUCGCAAGACCAAAGAGGGGGACCCUCGGGCCUCUUGCCAUCGGAUGUGCCCAGAUGGGAUUAGCUUGUUGGUGGGGUAACGGCUCACCAAGGCGACGAUCCCUAGCUGGUCUGAGAGGAUGACCAGCCACACUGGAACUGAGACACGGUCCAGACUCCUACGGGAGGCAGCAGAAGGGCGAAUU
This 361-nucleotide ribosomal RNA is filed under the name uncultured Escherichia sp. Its description in RNAcentral is "bacterial SSU rRNA". It matches the Rfam family "Bacterial small subunit ribosomal RNA", at positions 8 to 365 of the family's 1533-position model. Lineage: Bacteria; Pseudomonadati; Pseudomonadota; Gammaproteobacteria; Enterobacterales; Enterobacteriaceae. The record is from RNAcentral.